RNAcentral lists this long non-coding RNA (201 nucleotides) under Lathyrus oleraceus (garden pea). RNAcentral describes it as "Pisum sativum (pea) long non-coding RNA (PSAT_LNC008117)". The stretch from base 1 to 66 matches the Rfam family "tRNA", at positions 19 to 71 of the family's 71-position model. The record is from RNAcentral. Lineage: Eukaryota; Viridiplantae; Streptophyta; Magnoliopsida; Fabales; Fabaceae.
UCUAAGGCGCCAGACUCAAGUUCUGGUCUUCGUGAGAGGGCGUGGGUUCAAAUCCCACUUCUGACAAUUUUAUUUUAUUUUUACAAUAUUUUUUAAAAAAUGAUAUUUAAGUGCCCAAAAUUUAUUAAAACAUUUAUUUUAUUUUAAGGUGGCUCAAAUUCCACUUCUUAAAAUUUUCUUUUCUUUUAAAAUUAAGAUUUG